GGGUUGUGAGGUUAAGCGACUAAGCGUACACGGUGGAUGCCCUGGCAGUCAGAGGCGAUGAAGGACGUGCUAAUCUGCGAUAAGCGCCGGUAAGGUGAUAUGAACCGUUAUAACCGGCGAUUUCCGAAUGGGGAAACCCAGUGUGAUUCGUCACACUAUCAUUAACUGAAUCCAUAGGUUAAUGAGGCGAACCGGGGGAACUGAAACAUCUAAGUACCCCGAGGAAAAGAAAUCAACCGAGAUUCCCCCAGUAGCGGCGAGCGAACGGGGAGGAGCCCAGAGCCUGAAUCAGCAUGUGUGUUAGUGGAAGCGUCUGGAAAGGCGCGCGAUACAGGGUGACAGCCCCGUACACAAAAAUGCACAUGCUGUGAGCUCGAUGAGUAGGGCGGGACACGUGGUAUCCUGUCUGAAUAUGGGGGGACCAUCCUCCAAGGCUAAAUACUCCUGACUGACCGAUAGUGAACCAGUACCGUGAGGGAAAGGCGAAAAGAACCCCGGCGAGGGGAGUGAAAAAGAACCUGAAACCGUGUACGUACAAGCAGUGGGAGCACCCUUUGGGGUGUGACUGCGUACCUUUUGUAUAAUGGGUCAGCGACUUAUAUUCUGUAGCAAGGUUAACCGUAUAGGGGAGCCGGAGGGAAACCGAGUCUUAACCGGGCGUUAAGUUGCAGGGUAUAGACCCGAAACCCGGUGAUCUAGCCAUGGGCAGGUUGAAGGUUGGGUAACACUAACUGGAGGACCGAACCGACUAAUGUUGAAAAAUUAGCGGAUGACCUGUGGCUGGGGGUGAAAGGCCAAUCAAACCGGGAGAUAGCUGGUUCUCCCCGAAAGCUAUUUAGGUAGC
This 844-nucleotide ribosomal RNA is filed under the name Salmonella enterica subsp. enterica serovar Albany. RNAcentral describes it as "partial 23S ribosomal RNA". It matches the Rfam family "Bacterial large subunit ribosomal RNA", at positions 1 to 878 of the family's 2925-position model. The record is from RNAcentral. Lineage: Bacteria; Pseudomonadati; Pseudomonadota; Gammaproteobacteria; Enterobacterales; Enterobacteriaceae.